RNAcentral lists this ribosomal RNA (406 nucleotides) under uncultured bacterium. RNAcentral's name for it is "partial 16S ribosomal RNA". It matches the Rfam family "Bacterial small subunit ribosomal RNA", at positions 30 to 526 of the family's 1533-position model. The record is from RNAcentral.
AUUGAACGCUGCCGCCGGCCUUACAACUGCCAAUCGAGCGGAGCGGCGGACGGGUGAGUGAUGCCUAGGAUUCUGCCUGGUAGCGGGUGAACACGUCCGGAUACGGGCGCUAAUACCGAAUACUAUCAGCUGCGCCUAGGUCGGAUUAGCUAGUUGCGGGGGUAACGGCCAACCAAGGCGACGUUCCGUAACUGGUCUGCGAGGAUGAUCAGUCACACUGGAACGUAGACACGGUCCAGACUCCUACGGGAGGCAGCAGUGGGGAAUAUUGGACAAUGGGCGAAAGCCUGAUGCAGCCAUGCCGCGUGUGUGAAGAAGGGCUUCGGAUUGUAAAGCACUUUCAGCUGGGAGGCGUUACCAACAGAAUAAGCACCGGCUAACUACGUGCCAGCAGCCGCGGUAAUAC